Molecule: ribosomal RNA, 439 nt
Filed under: uncultured bacterium
Lineage: Bacteria
Description: bacterial SSU rRNA
Rfam family: Bacterial small subunit ribosomal RNA
Source: RNAcentral
UGGGGAAUAUUGCGCAAUGGGCGAAAGCCUGACGCAGCGACGCCGCGUGAGGGAUGAAGGUCUUCGGAUCGUAAACCUCUGUCAGCAGGGAAGAAAUUUUUAGUGUGCUAAUCAGCAUUAAAUUGACGGUACCUGCAAAGGAAGCACCGGCUAACUCCGUGCCAGCAGCCGCGGUAAUACGGAGGGUGCGAGCGUUAAUCGGAAUUACUGGGCGUAAAGCGCUCGUAGGUGGUAUGUCAAGUCAAGGGUGAAAUCCCCGCGCUCAACGUGGGAACUGCCUUUGAAACUGGCAGACUGGAGUGUGUGAGAGGAUAGUGGAAUUCCAGGUGUAGGAGUGAAAUCCGUAGAUAUCUGGAGGAACAUCAGUGGCGAAGGCGACUAUCUGGCACAUAACUGACACUGAGGAGCGAAGCGUGGGUAGCAAACAGGAUUAGAUACC